RNAcentral lists this transfer RNA (74 nucleotides) under Candidatus Nealsoniibacteriota bacterium. RNAcentral's name for it is "Candidatus Nealsonbacteria bacterium tRNA-Val". It matches the Rfam family "tRNA". Rfam says of the family: Transfer RNA (tRNA) molecules are approximately 80 nucleotides in length. Their secondary structure includes four short double-helical elements and three loops (D, anti-codon, and T loops). Lineage: Bacteria; Candidatus Nealsoniibacteriota. The record is from RNAcentral.
GGGCGAUUAGCUCAGCUGGCUAGAGCGUCUGCUCGACACGCAGGAGGUCGCAGGUUCAAGUCCUGCAUCGCCCA